This 460-nucleotide ribosomal RNA is filed under the name uncultured bacterium. Its description in RNAcentral is "partial 16S ribosomal RNA". It matches the Rfam family "Bacterial small subunit ribosomal RNA", at positions 338 to 795 of the family's 1533-position model. The record is from RNAcentral.
CCUACGGGUGGCAGCAGUGAGGAAUAUUGGUCAAUGGACGAGAGUCUGAACCAGCCAAGUAGCGUGAAGGAUGACUGCCCUAUGUGUUGUAAAAUUCUUUUAUAAAGGAAUAAAACGAGGCACGUGUGCCUUUUUGCAUGUACUUUAUGAAUAAGGAUCGGCUAACUCCGUGCCAGCAGCCGCGGUAAUACGGAGGAGGCAAGCGUUAUCCGGAAUGACUGGGCGUAAAGGGUGCGUAGUGGGUUUGACAAGUUGGUAGCGUAACUCCGGGGCUCAACCUCGGCACUGCUACCAAAACUGUCGGACGUGAGUGCAGGAGGGGCAAAUGGAAGUCCUAGUGUAGCGGUGUAAUGCGUAGAUAUUAGGAGGAACACCAGUGGCGAAGGCGAUUUGCUGGACUGUAACUGACACUGAGGCACGAAAGCGUGGGGAGCAAACAGGAUUAGAUACCCCGGUAGUC